GAGUUUGAUCGUGGCUCAGAACGAACGCUGGCGGCAGGCUUAACACAUGCAAGUCGAGCGCCCCGCAAGGGGAGCGGCGGACGGGUGAGUAACGCGUGGGAAUCUACCUAGCUCUACGGAAUAACCCAGGGAAACUUGGACUAAUACCGUAUACGCCCUCCGGGGGAAAGGAUUUAUCGGAGUUGGAUGAGCCCGCGUUGGAUUAGCUAGUUGGUGGGGUAAGUGGCCUACCAAGGCGACGAUCCAUAGCUGGUCUGAGAGGAUGAUCAGCCACAUUGGGACUGAGACACGGCCCAAACUCCUACGGGAGGCAGCAGUGGGGAAUAUUGGACAAUGGGCGAAAGCCUGAUCCAGCCAUGCCGCGUGAGUGAUGAAGGCCCUAGGGUUGUAAAGCUCUUUCAACGGUGAAGAUAAUGACGGUAACCGUAGAAGAAGCCCCGGCUAACUUCGUGCCAGCCGCCGCCGU
RNAcentral lists this ribosomal RNA (466 nucleotides) under uncultured Alphaproteobacteria bacterium. RNAcentral's name for it is "bacterial SSU rRNA". It matches the Rfam family "Bacterial small subunit ribosomal RNA", at positions 9 to 521 of the family's 1533-position model. Lineage: Bacteria; Pseudomonadati; Pseudomonadota; Alphaproteobacteria. The record is from RNAcentral.